CCCCCGGGUCCGUGGUUCCAGGAGUUCACCUGUGCGAAGGCCAGGUGCUCCCCCUUCCCCACUUCCCCCACACCCCAACCUUGCACACCCAAGGUCUGCCUCAACAACCAGUGAGUAUCCUUUCCGUCUCUCCCAGGUCCGCGUGUCCAGGAGUCCAUCUGUCCGCCUUCAGAUAUUCUCCCUUCCCCACUUCCCCAAGGUAUCCUCGCCUUUCCCAGGUCCAUGUGUCCAGGAAUCCAUCCGUGGGCCCCCGGAUGUCUCCCC
Molecule: non-coding RNA, 264 nt
Organism: Cherax quadricarinatus
Lineage: Eukaryota; Metazoa; Arthropoda; Malacostraca; Decapoda; Parastacidae
Source: RefSeq, a predicted model, not a curated record